RNAcentral lists this ribosomal RNA (429 nucleotides) under Pseudomonadota bacterium. Its description in RNAcentral is "Proteobacteria bacterium partial 16S ribosomal RNA". It matches the Rfam family "Bacterial small subunit ribosomal RNA", at positions 355 to 776 of the family's 1533-position model. Lineage: Bacteria; Pseudomonadati; Pseudomonadota. The record is from RNAcentral.
UGGGGAAUAUUGGACAAUGGGCGAAAGCCUGAUCCAGCCAUGCCGCGUGUGUGAAGAAGGUCUUCGGAUUGUAAAGCAUUUUAAGUUGGGAGGAAGGGCAGUAAGCGAAUACCUUGCUGUUUUGACGUUACCGACAGAAUAAGCACCGGCUAACUCUGUGCCAGCAGCCGCGGUAAUACAGAGGGUGCAAGCGUUAAUCGGAAUUACUGGGCGUAAAGCGCGCGUAGGUGGUUCGUUAAGUUGAAUGUGAAAACCCCGGGCUCAACCUGGGAACUGCAUCCAAAACUGGCGAGCUAGAGUAGGGCAGAGGGUGGUGGAAUUUCCUGUGUAGCGGUGAAAUGCGUAGAUAUAGGAAGGAACACCAGUGGCGAAGGCGACCACCUGGGCUCAUACUGACACUGAGGUGCGAAAGCGUGGGGAGCAAACAGG